This 1333-nucleotide long non-coding RNA is filed under the name Equus asinus (donkey). RNAcentral's name for it is "lncRNA (ENSEASG00005024264.1)". Lineage: Eukaryota; Metazoa; Chordata; Mammalia; Perissodactyla; Equidae. The record is from RNAcentral.
GUACUAAGUACCCAAGGGCAGUGAGCUGGGUUCCACGAAAUUACAGCCCGCAGCACCCGAGGAUUGGAAAUCCCAGGGCAGAAGGGGCGUUUCGUCUUAGGACCGCUGGACUCGGACUCGGCAUGUCGCAGCUCAGUUGUGGGGCUGCAGUGCGGCUCCCCCCAACCGUCCGCUUUCUAAGCUCCACUGUGGAGCGGCAGGUGCCGCAGCUCCUCCCCUCCCGCCUCGGCGCACUCCCGGGUCAUGGGGGCGGGGGGAGGGGAGGUGUGGUGAAGCAUCUAGACUCAGCGGCGGGCGAUCCCAUCCAAGCACCCUGAGAUCUCGGUGUUGAGAAAGAGGGGGUACAGGAGGCGGGGAGGAGGGUGAGGAGGACUGCAGAGCUCAGGCGCUGAGCUGUGCACUGGAGGGGGGAGGGAUGGGAGCUCCCUUCCAGCCUUGGGGGUCUGGGGACUCAGGGAUGUAAGGCGAGAGCAGGGGGGUGUGACAAUUCAGCAGAGGUCGGGACGUACCACGGAGCCCAGUGGCGGGGGGGGGGCAGAGGACGUGGUCAUCAAGGGGAGCCCCCGCCCGCCUUCGCAAAGGCCUACGCCUGAGGUUGCAGGGAGAACUGGAACUGGGCUCCCGGUAGGGGGAAGCGGUGUAUUAAAUCCGCCCCCUACUCAUACCCCACUUCCGAGGGGGUGGACGAUAGAGGGAGGUUGGGGUUGGAGCAGCGGCGAGGGGGCCCCUCCCUAGCACCUCCCCCCACCGGACUUGGUCGCGCCCGAAGUGUAACACUUUCUCUUUGUCGGAGGAGCUCCGCUGUUUCCUGUGCUGUAGCUCCCGUUGCAGCGGCGCCCGUGGCAGCCCUGGCGGACGCAGGAGCGAUGGCAGCGACCGAUAUAGCUCGCCAGGUGAAUAACAGCAGUGGGAGAAAGAUGCACAGCUGGAAUGGCCAUAACUGCGUUCUUCAUAACAUGAACCUUCGAAUAUUCAAUUAAAAAACAAAAUUGGUGUGUCCUCAGGGGAGGAGGCGGAAGAGAAAGAGAGUGGUGUUUCGGCCUGUGAUAUGAAAUGUGGUAUAACGUAUUUCAAAACCGCAGGUGACUGCAGAUGAGGAGAAAACAGGAAAUGUAAUUGGGGAGGAGAGUGGGGGCUCUCCCAAUUCUCAGGAGCACUCUUUGGUUUUGCCUUCCUUUUAGCUCCUCUCAGACUCUCUGCAUCCUAAUUACCUCUGCUGCAAAGCUGACUGAGCACUCUCUUUUCUUGUAUUAAAAUGUUUUUAAAUUACACAGGUAAUGUGUGAAUACAUUCAUGUUGUAAAAGAAUCAAACAAUACAGAAGCAUACUGCCU